AGAGUUUGAUCCUGGCUCAGAACGAACGCUGGCGGCGUGGAUAAGACAUGCAAGUCGAACGCUGAUUUCAGGGUAGCAAUAUUCUGAAGUUGGAGUGGCGCAAGGGUGCGUAACACGUGGGUAAUUUGCCGUGAAGCUCGGAAUAACUCGCUGAAAGGCGAGCUAAUGCCGGAUGUGAUGUUUGGGAGGCAUCUCCUGAACCUUAAAGCUGGGGACCGUAAGGCCUGGCACUUCACGAUAAGCCCGCGGCCUAUCAGCUAGUCGGUGAGGUAACGGCUCACCAAGGCUAAGACGGGUAGCUGGUCUGAGAGGACGACCAGCCACACUGGAACUGAGACACGGUCCAGACACCUACGGGUGGCAGCAGUCGAGAAUUUUUCACAAUGGGCGAAAGCCUGAUGGAGCGACGCCGCGUGGGGGAUGAGUGGCUUCGGCCCGUAAACCCCUGUCAUUUGCGAACAAACCUCGUAAUUUAAAAGAUGACGAGCUGAUUGUAGCGAAAGAGGAAGGGACGGCUAACUCUGUGCCAGCAGCCGCGGUAAUACAGAGGUCCCAAGCGUUGUUCGGAUUCACUGGGCGUAAAAGGUGCGUAGGUGGUUAGGUAAGUCUAAUGUGAAAUCUCCGAGCUUAACUCGGAAACUGCAUCGGAUACUAUCUAGCUUGAGGGUUGGAGGGGGGACUGGAAUACUUGGUGUAGCAGUGAAAUGCGUAGAUAUCAAGUGGAACACCAGUGGCGAAGGCGAGUCCCUGGACAACUCCUGACACUGAGGCACGAAAGCUAGGGGAGCAAACAGGAUUAGAUACCCUGGUAGUCCUAGCCGUAAACGGUGCACGUUUGCUGUAAAAGGAAUCGACCCCUUUUGUGGCGAAGCUAACGCGUUAAACGUGCCGCCUGGGAAGUACGGUCGCAAGAUUAAAACUCAAAGGAAUUGACGGG
RNAcentral lists this ribosomal RNA (937 nucleotides) under uncultured bacterium. RNAcentral describes it as "bacterial SSU rRNA". It matches the Rfam family "Bacterial small subunit ribosomal RNA", at positions 8 to 917 of the family's 1533-position model. The record is from RNAcentral.